CAAAUCCCCACCUCAGUGCCUGGCUGAGCUCGAUGCUAGGGACUUGCUUGGAAAGAGCCUUGAUGUGUAUGCGCAUCAACAACUCUGCACACAGCACUUCAGGGCAGCCGACAAGCAACUUAGCAUUCUGACACAUUCUCACUUCCACAUCACAAAGCCCUUUCACUUAGGUGUUGAACGCAGCCAGCAUGAGGAAUGCCUCUCUGUGUCACCACCAAGAACGUUUCUACGUGCCAUAACAUGCCCUCUUAUCAGUGUCCAAAAGAAUAAAACAUCACUGCCAAGGCCCAGCAACAUCUCUUCCUUCCACAAUACAUCUUGGAGUUUGUGACACUCUAGGAAGACUGGCAAUCCUCCGGUUCUGUAGUCACUGAGACUAGCACCGCCGCCUCUGGCCUUGGCUUGAGCACUGAUGUCCACUUUUGUUCGCACACUUUCCCACAUCUGUGGUACCCCUUCUAGUUUGGGUUAACCACUCUAGACUACUGUUAAGAAGGUACACAACUGGUUGGAAGGUGGCACCUAAAAGAUGUCAUCAAUGACGGUCAACGUGGAGAAAAGAACCAAAGAGUGUCUCCCAGGAUCAAUUCCCCGCUGCCUUCCUUCCAUUUCCACUUGGGAAGAUAAUCUAGAAGUAGUAGGGCAAUGUUUAUCAAUGCCGUGACCCUCUGAGAGGAACUAAGUAUGCCAUAGGAAUCUGUUCGGGGCCCAGGAUCAUUCAAUAACUUCAACAAUGACCUGCAUGAAAGAACUGAAGAUGACCUCAUUAAAUCUGAUGACCACGAGA
This is a long non-coding RNA of Ornithorhynchus anatinus (platypus), 787 nucleotides long. RefSeq lists it as uncharacterized. The transcript has 2 exons. The record is from RefSeq and is a predicted model, not a curated record. NCBI's taxonomy places the organism in Eukaryota, Metazoa, Chordata, Mammalia, Monotremata, Ornithorhynchidae.